CCCCCGCUCCGCACCAGCAAGUGACUGGCACGCUCUGGCUUCGCUGCUGCUGCGGCGGCUGCGGCGGCGCUUCUUUCUCCUCGUUGUGAGUCAGUCAGUCAGUGUCGUGACAGUCAGACUGCCUGGCGGCUGGCACAUCGGUGUCCCGCAGUCUCUCUGUGUCUAGUGUUACAGUGGGCCUGCAGGUUAUAUAGCCGGUCAGCUGCAUGAGGAUGUGUGUGACCCUAUUAUUUUCACUUGAAGCAGACAGACCGAGGAGGCAAUACCUGAUGAAUCUUCUCUUGUUACCCCCUUCAGAACACCUACUGUAUAUAUUUAACCUCAUAGAGGAAGGAGAAACAUUGUCUACAUGGGGAGCAGAAAAGGUAAUUUUGGAGGAUCACUGUGAAUUGAUCACCUCAUCAUGAAGACAACAAAAAGGCUCACUAGUGUGGUCCAGAUACUAGAGCGGUGCCCAGCAAUCCUACAGGCUCCUGAGGUUGGAGGUACUUGCGAUUCAAGCUGCUACACAUUAACCAAAUGGACUGACUGUGAUUCCAGCUGGAUGAAUGCAGUUUAAAUACAGAUACUGUGUAACGCUCAGUCACCCUCUGAUGAAACCUUCAGCUCACAUUGAAGGAGAACCCGGAACGGGAACAGUCCACCAGGUUCUGAGCACUGUAAGACUCCAGUUUGCCUUUCCGGAGUUUCGCCUGGCACUCCAGCGCCCCCACGCUG
This is a long non-coding RNA of Pseudophryne corroboree (corroboree frog), 717 nucleotides long. RefSeq lists it as uncharacterized. NCBI's taxonomy places the organism in Eukaryota, Metazoa, Chordata, Amphibia, Anura, Myobatrachidae. The record is from RefSeq and is a predicted model, not a curated record. The transcript is spliced from 5 exons.